This 592-nucleotide long non-coding RNA is filed under the name Equus caballus (horse). RNAcentral's name for it is "lncRNA (ENSECAG00000056402.1)". The record is from RNAcentral. Lineage: Eukaryota; Metazoa; Chordata; Mammalia; Perissodactyla; Equidae.
CCCAGUGCCUGGCUUUUCAUCAUCACGCCCAGCAUUUAGCGAGUGGAAUAAGUCAUUCUUUGACUGCAUUUUGUUCUGCUUCUUCCUCCGUCUGAUUCUACUGGCUGCUCUUUGCAGAUAUAAUUAGCUGAUAAGGUCUACCGGAUGGGAGUGGGCCCAGAAUCCGAUGACUGGUGUCCUUAUAAGAAGAGAAGAAGAGACACAGAGGGGAGAAGGCCACGUGAAGAUGGAGGUGGAGGUUGGGGCGACACCGCCAGAAGCCAAGGAAUGCCUGGAGCCACCAGCAGCUGGAAGAGCUAAAGCAAGCAAAUGGACAUAUCCAAAUUCAAGAAAGUGGAGAAGAGUGAUCCUACUAUGUGCUUGGAAAGAGAACCCAAAAUUCUUGGUAAGUGGCCUUAGAGAUUACCAUAAUUUCAUAGAUGUCAUUUUCUCCAGGGGCUCUUAAUUUUUUUCACAAAGCAGCUAUUGUUAAAACUGAGCAGGGAGAGCGAAUGGGAAGCUCAGCCCUCACAAUCAACCAGCUGCGCAACCUCGGGCAAGUUACUGAAGCUCGUUGACCUCGGUUUCCUCAUCUACGAAGUGGGGAAAAUAG